UACGAAGGGUGCUAGCGUUGUUCGGAAUUACUGGGCGUAAAGGGCGCGUAGGCGGAUAGUUCAGUUGGGGGUGAAAGCCCGGGGCUCAACCUCGGAACUGCCUUCAAUACUGGCUAUCUUGAGUACGGGAGAGGUGUGUGGAACUCCGAGUGUAGAGGUGAAAUUCGUAGAUAUUCGGAAGAACACCAGUGGCGAAGGCGACACACUGGCCCGUUACUGACGCUGAGGCGCGAAAGCGUGGGGAGCAAACAGG
RNAcentral lists this ribosomal RNA (253 nucleotides) under uncultured bacterium. Its description in RNAcentral is "partial 16S ribosomal RNA". It matches the Rfam family "Bacterial small subunit ribosomal RNA", at positions 524 to 776 of the family's 1533-position model. The record is from RNAcentral.